UCGGGAAUAUUGCGCAAUGGAGGAAACUCUGACGCAGUGACGCCGCGUGCAGGAAGAAGGUUUUCGGAUUGUAAACUGCUUUAGACAGGGAAGAAAAAAAUGACAGUACCUGUAGAAUAAGCUCCGGCUAACUACGUGCCAGCAGCCGCGGUAAUACGUAGGGAGCAAGCGUUAUCCGGAUUUAUUGGGUGUAAAGGGUGCGUAGACGGGAAGACAAGUUAGUUGUGAAAUCCCUCGGCUUAACUGAGGAACUGCAACUAAAACUAUCAUUCUUGAGUGCUGGAGAGGAAAGUGGAAUUCCUAGUGUAGCGGUGAAAUGCGUAGAUAUUAGGAGGAACACCAGUGGCGAAGGCGACUUUCUGGACAGUAACUGACGUUGAGGCACGAAAGUGUGGGGAGCAGACAGGAUUAGAUACCC
This 418-nucleotide ribosomal RNA is filed under the name uncultured bacterium. RNAcentral describes it as "bacterial SSU rRNA". It matches the Rfam family "Bacterial small subunit ribosomal RNA", at positions 355 to 787 of the family's 1533-position model. The record is from RNAcentral.